Molecule: antisense RNA, 114 nt
Filed under: Enterococcus faecalis
Lineage: Bacteria; Bacillati; Bacillota; Bacilli; Lactobacillales; Enterococcaceae
Description: Enterococcus sRNA 66
Rfam family: Enterococcus sRNA 66
About the family: Name 'Ref' stands for RNA in E. faecalis.
Source: RNAcentral
AAAGAGAGGUAUGCGGGUACAUACCUCUCUUUUAUACCAGCGCCAGUUAUAAGAACUGGUGGCUUACUGAGUUAAGUUUUUAUUACUGUUUAACCGUUCGGCCUGUCAAGCUUA